UAGUCCACGCCGUAAACGAUGUCAACUAGCCGUUGGGAGCAAUUAAGCUCUUAGUGGCGCAGCUAACGCGAUAAGUUGACCGCCUGGGGAGUACGCCGGCAACGGUAAAACCCAAAUGAAUUGACGGGGGCCCGCACAAGCGGUGGAGCAUGUGGUUUAAUUCGAUGCAACGCGAAAAACCUUACCUACCCUUGACAUCCUCAGAACUUGUUAGAGAUAACUUGGUGCCUUCGGGAACUGAGUGACAGGUGCUGCAUGGCUGUCGUCAGCUCGUGUCGUGAGAUGUUGGGUUAAGUCCCGCAACGAGCGCAACCCUUGUCCCUAGUUGCCAGCACGUAAAGGUGGGAACUCUAGGGAGACUGCCGGUGACAAACCGGAGGAAGGUGGGGAUGACGUCAAAUCAUCACGGCCCUUACGUCCUGGGCUACACACGUGCUACAAUGGUCGGUACAGAGGGCAGCUACCUGGUGACAGGAUGCAAAUCUCUAAAGCCGGCCCUAGUUCGAAUUGAAGUCUGCAA
RNAcentral lists this ribosomal RNA (520 nucleotides) under uncultured bacterium. RNAcentral describes it as "bacterial SSU rRNA". It matches the Rfam family "Bacterial small subunit ribosomal RNA", at positions 791 to 1310 of the family's 1533-position model. The record is from RNAcentral.